This 195-nucleotide ribosomal RNA is filed under the name ascomycete sp. HK-S279. Its description in RNAcentral is "5.8S ribosomal RNA". The stretch from base 40 to 193 matches the Rfam family "5.8S ribosomal RNA". From Rfam's summary of the family: 5.8S ribosomal RNA (5.8S rRNA) is a component of the large subunit of the eukaryotic ribosome. It is transcribed by RNA polymerase I as part of the 45S precursor that also contains 18S and 28S rRNA. Functionally, it is thought that 5.8S rRNA may be involved in ribosome translocation. Lineage: Eukaryota; Fungi; Ascomycota. The record is from RNAcentral.
AACUUUGCAGUCUGAGUAAACUUAAUUAAUAAAUUAGAAAACUUUUAACAACGGAUCUCUUGGUUCUGGCAUCGAUGAAGAACGCAGCGAAAUGCGAUAAGUAAUGUGAAUUGCAGAAUUCAGUGAAUCAUCGAAUCUUUGAACGCACAUUGCGCCCCCUGGUAUUCCGGGGGGCAUGCCUGUUCGAGCGUCAUU